RNAcentral lists this long non-coding RNA (284 nucleotides) under Zostera marina. Its description in RNAcentral is "long non-coding RNA (ZMAR_LNC003901)". Lineage: Eukaryota; Viridiplantae; Streptophyta; Magnoliopsida; Alismatales; Zosteraceae. The record is from RNAcentral.
UCCAACCUGUAAAUCAGAAAUUGGUAACGGCAGAAUAGAAGGAGAUGCAGUUGUGUUUAGGGAGUUGAACGAGAGGACAGACCGGAAGGAAUUGAAGAAAUCGAAGAGGAGGACAGAUGAUUAGCCGAGUAUAUGGUUAGGGUGUCAAGUAAAGCUCGGCUCGAGCUCAGGGCUCGGUAAGUAUAAAAAAAUAUUAUAUUUAGAGAGAAUAGAGAAUUAGAGAUGUAGCAAGAUGGUAAAGGUUUAUUUAGUAUGUACGUGAGAGAUUAUGAAUUUGAUCUUCC